This is a long non-coding RNA of Bombus impatiens (common eastern bumble bee), 1374 nucleotides long. RefSeq lists it as uncharacterized. NCBI's taxonomy places the organism in Eukaryota, Metazoa, Arthropoda, Insecta, Hymenoptera, Apidae. The record is from RefSeq and is a predicted model, not a curated record. The transcript is spliced from 2 exons.
CUCAAUCAUAUGAAAAUGAAUCACUUUUUAUAUACUCACAUAUGACAACUUCCUUACUAAAGAGAAAAGAAGGGAAGAAGAGAUAAUAUUGAGGAUCUAUAAUGAUCACUUUGUUAUCGUUCUUCUCUAGACAGAUAUUAUAAUUAAAUUUUCAUUAAUGAACAUCACGAUAAAUAUCAUUUCGUUAUUUACUAUAUAUAACUUCAUUUAUUCUAAUUUCACGCGAUCAUUAUUGGUAUUUGCUAUGAUAUAUUGGUAUGAUAUACUGGUAUAUGCUAUAUUGUUUUCCACGGUUCUCAGCAUUUGAAUAAUCUAACUCGAGAAAUUAAUAUUAUUUGCUGACAUCUCGUGAACGGUGUUUUCCCUUUAUGUCCCUUAUUCAUAUGAUAUCAUACUACACCAAUGAUUAAUGUUUAUGUACGUUGUCAUUUUUAUCGCUUACUUUCCGUAUUUAAAAACUUCGAAAUAUGCGACAAAAAAUACAACCUGUCUUUACUAAUGAAAGUUUAUAAGUAUUUUGAAAGUAUUUAAGUUGACUCCCGAUUUCGAACUAUUAAUCCGUAAAAUGUACGUGCAUUCAUCUAUCCUGAUCUGUGAUAUGUUUCAACAAAUGCUUAUUUUUCUUCUUAGAGUAAAAUAAAGAUUUCAACAGAAAUGAUCAAAACAUAAAUCAAUUAAACAAUUCAAUAAUAACAAAUAAUCGAUUGCAUAAAAUUGUUACAAUUCAUCUAUCGAAUGAUUAUUCGGUGUUCUAAUUAAUAUGAUAAUAAGGAAUUUCAAGAUUCAAUUGAGAAAAAUGAUUUAUAUAUUUUUAAUCGAUGCCGGUGUAUACGUGUAAGAUAACUCUUAGAUAUUUCUGUGCAACGUAGUUGCCCCUCCCUUUGCGUUAUCGUUGUGAGGAAUUGGUUGCCUGAAGGCAGUCCUCCGCAUUAUUUAUCAUAUAUUAGGCUUUGAAACUAUCAUUAUCGCAAUUCGAAAAACGUCAUAUUACGCACAACGUAAAAUAGUGAGAAUAGUACAAAAGAAUUGGUAUCAUCGGAAAAGCUUCGUAUUCUAUUUCAUUGCGUCAAUUGUCUUCUUAAUGAAAUUUUGGAAAUGCAUAUAAAUUACAUAUUUCUGAAAAUUAUAUAUGUAUGUAUGAUCAAAAGAAGAACGUAGCAUCAAAACAAGUUAAAUAGUAAACACGAAAAACAUGUUUGCGUCGUUACGAUAACAAAUACGGUGAAGGUAAAAAGAUACAUAGAUCUAAAAAUAUCUUUUGAAACCAGCAUGACACAUUAACGAGAAUAAACAGAGAUGAAUGAUCCUUUUAUUCUAUUUGCAAUAACAGAUUCUGCAUUUGUAUGUGCAGGAAUGCUUCGCGUUGUGUGUAGA